UACGGGGGAUGCAAGCGUUAUUCGGAAUUACUGGGCGUAAAGCGUGCGCAGGCGGUUAUGUAAGACAGAUGUGAAAUCCCCGGGCUCAACCUGGGAACUGCAUUUGUGACUGCAUAGCUAGAGUACGGCAGAGGGGGAUGGAAUUCCGCGUGUAGCAGUGAAAUGCGUAGAUAUGCGGAGGAACACCGAUGGCGAAGGCAAUCCCCUGGGCCUGUACUGACGCUCAUGCACGAAAGCGUGGGGAGCAAACAGG
This 253-nucleotide ribosomal RNA is filed under the name uncultured bacterium. RNAcentral describes it as "partial 16S ribosomal RNA". It matches the Rfam family "Bacterial small subunit ribosomal RNA", at positions 524 to 776 of the family's 1533-position model. The record is from RNAcentral.